GGAGGUUCUUCUGAGGCUGCUGCCAGUGGUCAAAGCCUCCAACAAAGCUCUGUUGAGUGGCUGUAACCUCUCAGAGAGAAGCUGUGCAGCUCUGUCCUCAGUUCUCAGCUCCCAGUCCUCUAGUCUGAGAGAUCUGGACCUGAGUAACAACAACCUGCAGGAUUCAGGAGUGAAGCAGCUUUCUGCUGGACUGGAGAGUCCACACUGUGGACUGGAAACUCUCAGUCUGUCCGGAUGUCUGAUCACAGAGGAAGGCUGUGCUUCUCUGGCCUCAGCUCUGAGUGCCAACCCC
This is a long non-coding RNA of Scomber japonicus (chub mackerel), 292 nucleotides long. RefSeq lists it as uncharacterized. The record is from RefSeq and is a predicted model, not a curated record. The transcript is spliced from 3 exons. NCBI's taxonomy places the organism in Eukaryota, Metazoa, Chordata, Actinopteri, Scombriformes, Scombridae.